RNAcentral lists this ribosomal RNA (506 nucleotides) under uncultured bacterium. RNAcentral describes it as "partial 16S ribosomal RNA". It matches the Rfam family "Bacterial small subunit ribosomal RNA", at positions 30 to 523 of the family's 1533-position model. The record is from RNAcentral.
AUUGAACGCUGGCGGCAGGCCUAACACAUGCAAGUCGAGCGGCAGCGGAAAGUAGCUUGCUACUUUGCCGGCGAGCGGCGGACGGGUGAGUAAUGUCUGGGAAACUGCCUGAUGGAGGGGGAUAACUACUGGAAACGGUAGCUAAUACCGCAUAACGUCGCAAGACCAAAGAGGGGGACCUUCGGGCCUCUUGCCAUCAGAUGUGCCCAGAUGGGAUUAGCUAGUAGGUGGGGUAACGGCUCACCUAGGCGACGAUCCCUAGCUGGUCUGAGAGGAUGACCAGCCACACUGGAACUGAGACACGGUCCAGACUCCUACGGGAGGCAGCAGUGGGGAAUAAUGCACAAUGGGCGCAAGCCUGAUGCAGCCAUGCCGCGUGUAUGAAGAAGGCCUUCGGGUUGUAAAGUACUUUCAGCGGGGAGGAAGGCGCUGAGGUUAAUAACCUCAGCGAUUGACGUUACACGCAGAAGAAGCACCGGCUAACUCCGUGCCAGCAGCCGCCGUAA